RNAcentral lists this ribosomal RNA (1362 nucleotides) under Lissorhoptrus oryzophilus (rice water weevil). Its description in RNAcentral is "16S ribosomal RNA". The stretch from base 1121 to 1279 matches the Rfam family "Archaeal large subunit ribosomal RNA", at positions 2542 to 2701 of the family's 2987-position model. Lineage: Eukaryota; Metazoa; Arthropoda; Insecta; Coleoptera; Erirhinidae. The record is from RNAcentral.
UUGAAAUCGGUGAUUUAAUCAACAUAAAACUCAAAUCAACUGAUGUAGAGUGUACAUCCAGCACGUUUUCCUUGUCUCAGGUUGUCCUGCAAACACAAAUCGUUCGCUUUUCAUAACAGGAUCUCAGCAGAGCCAGUAGCUGAAAUCAAAACCGUCGACGGCGACGGGGGCGGUAAAUCCUACAGGGAAGGGCGGGAGCCAGGAACAGCAGGAAAUGAGACGCUGGCCGCCGCGUCGCGACGGCCGAUCAGCCCCACUUAUCUCUUACCAGAAUUCAGGAUUGCUGCGAGGCGCUAUGCUGCUGCAGCCGCUUUCAAUUUAUUUUAAUAAAUCUGCCGUUUGGGAAUACAUCAACCCAAUCGACCACUCCGGAGGGUAAGGGGAGGACGGAGAUGAUAAUGGUCUUGGUGUGUGGGAUUGGACAACGAGAACGACGGUUUGGAGGGUGGUCUGUAAUUAAUUUAAAUUAAAACUUAUGAAUUGUUGUAACUUUUAUUGUAUGGAUUUUUAUAAGGUAAAUAGGUUAAUAGUAAAACAUAUCUUAAAAACAGUAAUUUUUACUUUUUAGUAUUAAAAAUAACUUUCUCGCAUCCCCACAACCAUACAGAUUUCAAAUAUAAAAAAAAUAUCUGGAUAAAAAACACAAUCACCAAAUUUUUGUAUUAUAUUUGAUUUUAAAAAGGUUAAAUAAAGGAAUUCGGCAAAUUUAUUUUCCACCUGUUUAUUAAAAACAUGUCCUUUUGAUUUUAAUUUAAGGUCUGACCUGCCCAAUGAAGAUUUUUAAUGGCCGCGGUAAUUUGACCGUGCAAAGGUAGCAUAAUCAUUAGUUUUUUAAAUGAAAGCUGGAAUGAAGGGUUGAAUGAGAAAAUUACUGUCUCUGUUUAAUUUUAUUAGAAUUUUAUUUUUAAGUUAAAAAGCUUAAAUUUUAUUAAAAGACGAGAAGACCCUAUAGAGUUUUAUAAUAUUUUUAUUUAGUAUUGAUUUAGUAUUUAAAAAAAAUUAAAUUUUAAAUUAUUUAGUUGGGGAGAUUGAGAAAUUAAAUUAACUUUCUAUUUUUUUUUACAUAAAUAAAUGAAGUUUUGAUCCUUUAUUUAAGAUUAAAAGAUUAAAUUACCUUAGGGAUAACAGCGUAAUUUUUUUUUAGAGUUCAAAUUAAAAAAAAAGAUUGCGACCUCGAUGUUGGAUUAAAAUUUAUUUUUGGUGUAGAAGCUAAAAAAUUAGGUCUGUUCGACCUUUAAAAUUUUACAUGAUCUGAGUUUAAACCGGUGUGAGCCAGGUUGGUUUCUAUCUUUAGUAAAAAGGUAUAUUUUAGUACGAAAGGACCAAAUAUAUAAUUGAUAAUUUUAUAUUUAGAAUAUUAUU